UACGGAGGGUGCAAACGUUGCUCGGAAUUAUUGGGCGUAAAGCGCACGUAGGCGGUUCGCUAUGCCGGAUGUGAAAGCCCUCGGCUUAACCGAGGAAGGGCAUCCGAAACUGGCGGGCUUGAGUACGAAAGAGGAUCGCGGAAUUCCCGGUGUAGAGGUGAAAUUCGUAGAUAUCGGGAGGAACACCAGUGGCGAAGGCGGCGAUCUGGGUCGAUACUGACGCUGAGGUGCGAAAGCGUGGGGAGCAAACAGG
Molecule: ribosomal RNA, 253 nt
Filed under: uncultured bacterium
Lineage: Bacteria
Description: partial 16S ribosomal RNA
Rfam family: Bacterial small subunit ribosomal RNA
Source: RNAcentral